This is a long non-coding RNA of Quercus robur (English oak), 1025 nucleotides long. RefSeq lists it as uncharacterized. The record is from RefSeq and is a predicted model, not a curated record. Lineage: Eukaryota; Viridiplantae; Streptophyta; Magnoliopsida; Fagales; Fagaceae. The transcript is spliced from 2 exons.
CAGCAUUUUGGUUUAGUAGAAAAUUGCUGCCAUCUACAAGAAGGAAGAUGAGGAGGAUAAUGAAGACAAAGAUUGAGAAAAAUUGAAGUAUAUAUCUAGUUUCUCAAACAUGCAUCCUGGUAUGAUGGAGCCUGGAUGUAUUUUGCAUCAACAGGAUCUUCUUUAGAAGUGUCUGUUGCGGUUUAUUGCAGUUAGAUGAACUGCAAAUCUAUUAAGGUGCUCUAAAUUUACUAAUAAUAUCAUACAUUUUGCUGAAGUAUUGGUUUUUACCAAAAUAAUAUUUAUUUGAAGGUCUGUUGAUAGUGCUUUUAUGGCAUUGUUUCAGUGUAAGCUUACACGUCUAAUGUUGUUGAUUAGUCUUUUGGUGAUAGUUCCUAAGGAAUGCCAAGAUAUACAACCUCGUAGUUGGCUUGAUAGUCUUGAUGAUGGUACAACUGUGGUUGGGAUCAAUGCGGUCUUUGAUAUUGAAAAAGCCCAUCUAAAAACAAACGCAUUCUGAGUUUGUUGUUCUUUCUUUAGCAUGACUCCCGACACUUGUGUGCUUUUCUUUGUAAAAGUUGUAGUUUAUGUUACUUUUUUUGGAUGUUAAUAUAAACAAUUGAUGCUCAAAGACAUAAAUGGAUUGGCCGAGCAGAAUGUUCAUAUGAGGAGGCAGAGGAGCCUUGUGCAGUCUUUUUUAUCAGUUUUAAAGUAGAGAGAUGGAGUUAAACAUUGCUCAGAAAAUUUAUUUACUGUCUACGUAGUGCUUGCUUGUUUGGAAAUUUUUUUGGCACCUGAACUCCUACUGGCUGUGCCCUUGUGCUAAUUUACGAAAGUGUUAUAAAUGGAACUCAAAGAGCGUACAUGAUUGCACGAACCUAUUGAGUGCUAUCCCCAACAAGCGAAUUGAGCAAGUGUAUCACGAAGCCAACCAAUGUACUGAUGCACUGCAAAGUUUGUAGCUGGCUCUCAAUGUCUUUUUGUCUCUUUUAAUGAAUCACCGCUUGUGGUGGAGAACAUGCUUGCUUUUGACAAAGUUGAGCUAA